RNAcentral lists this ribosomal RNA (254 nucleotides) under uncultured bacterium. RNAcentral describes it as "partial 16S ribosomal RNA". It matches the Rfam family "Bacterial small subunit ribosomal RNA", at positions 524 to 777 of the family's 1533-position model. The record is from RNAcentral.
UACGGAGGGUGCAAGCGUUAUCCGGAUUCACUGGGUUUAAAGGGUGCGUAGGUGGGCAGGUAAGUCCGUGGUGAAAUCUCUGAGCUUAACUCAGAAACUGCCGUGGAUACUAUUUGUCUUGAAUGUUGUGGAGGUGAGCGGAAUAUGUCAUGUAGCGGUGAAAUGCUUAGAUAUGACAUAGAACACCAAUUGCGAAGGCAGCUCACUACACAAUUAUUGACGCUGAGGCACGAAAGCGUGGGGAUCAAACAGGA